Eublepharis macularius is the source of this 394-nucleotide long non-coding RNA. RefSeq lists it as uncharacterized. The record is from RefSeq and is a predicted model, not a curated record. NCBI's taxonomy places the organism in Eukaryota, Metazoa, Chordata, Lepidosauria, Squamata, Eublepharidae. The transcript has 3 exons.
UGGAGCUUUGUCCACAGACCCUCACCGCCCAACCUUGCUGCUUACUUUUCAGAUCAUUGUUUAGAAUUAGGGAAUGUAACUAUAUAAUUAGGCUCUUUCCCUUCUCCAAGAUAUUGCUGUGGAAGGAAUCUACUUCAAUAAAACUGGAUGAGGAAGGAGGGGGAAAGAUGGACAGAUGUUGGAUCCCAGAUUAUUGCUGAGGAAAAACUCCCCUUCCCCCUCACAAAAGGUGCAUUGCCAACAAUUUUGGUCUCGAAGCCGCUGCGAAGCACCCUUUCGCCUCCAGGAGGGGGCUGGCAGAAUCGACGGUCUAAGCUCCCACACCUCCCCUCAGUGCCCUCCUUCUCUGGCCUCCAGGAUACUACAAAACACCUACUUGCUACCGGGAGGAGGC